AUUGAACGCUGGCGGCAUGCCUUACACAUGCAAGUCGAACGGCAGCACGGGUGCUUGCACCUGGAGGCGAGUGGCGAACGGGUGAGUAAUGCAUCGGAACAUGUCCUGUAGUGGGGGAUAGCCCGGCGAAAGCCGGAUUAAUACCGCAUACGAUCUACGGAUGAAAGCGGGGGACCUUCGGGCCUCGCGCUAUAGGGUUGGCCGAUGGCUGAUUAGCUAGUUGGUGGGGUAAAGGCCUACCAAGGCGACGAUCAGUAGCUGGUCUGAGAGGACGACCAGCCACACUGGGACUGAGACACGGCCCAGACUCCUACGGGAGGCAGCAGUGGGGAAUUUUGGACAAUGGGCGAAAGCCUGAUCCAGCAAUGCCGCGUGUGUGAAGAAGGCCUUCGGGUUGUAAAGCACUUUUGUCCGGAAAGAAAUCCUUGGCCCUAAUACGGUCGGGGGAUGACGGUACCGGAAGAAUAAGCACCGGCUAACUACGUG
RNAcentral lists this ribosomal RNA (486 nucleotides) under uncultured bacterium. RNAcentral's name for it is "partial 16S ribosomal RNA". It matches the Rfam family "Bacterial small subunit ribosomal RNA", at positions 30 to 507 of the family's 1533-position model. The record is from RNAcentral.